RNAcentral lists this ribosomal RNA (253 nucleotides) under uncultured bacterium. Its description in RNAcentral is "partial 16S ribosomal RNA". It matches the Rfam family "Archaeal small subunit ribosomal RNA", at positions 474 to 727 of the family's 1478-position model. The record is from RNAcentral.
UACCAGCACCCCGAGUGGUCGGGGCGUUUAUUGGGCCUAAAGCAUCCGUAGCCGGUUUUACAAGUCCUCCGUUAAAUCCAGCUGCUUAACAGAUGGGCUGCGGAGGAUACUAUAAGACUAGGAGGCAGGAGAGGCAAGCGGUACUCAGUGGGUAGGGGUAAAAUCCGUUGAUCCAUUGAAGACCACCAGUGGCGAAGGCGGCUUGCCAGAAUGCGCUCGACGGUGAGGGAUGAAAGCUGGGGGAGCAAACCGG